Long non-coding RNA from Priapulus caudatus, 128 nucleotides. RefSeq lists it as uncharacterized. NCBI's taxonomy places the organism in Eukaryota, Metazoa, Priapulida, Priapulimorpha, Priapulimorphida, Priapulidae. The transcript is spliced from 2 exons. The record is from RefSeq and is a predicted model, not a curated record.
AAAUGUAGCUGCAUGGAAGUAAACGUGUACCUUAUAUGGCGGUGAAAAACAUAGAAUAGAUAUGUCUGGAAGUAGGUUGAGAAUGACAUUCUGCUAGCCUCCCCCCCCCCCAGCGAACAAAGCAGACA